Molecule: ribosomal RNA, 423 nt
Filed under: uncultured bacterium
Lineage: Bacteria
Description: partial 16S ribosomal RNA
Rfam family: Bacterial small subunit ribosomal RNA
Source: RNAcentral
GAAUUUUGGACAAUGGGCGAAAGCCUGUUCCAGCAAUGCCGCGUGCAGGAUGAAGGCUUUCGGGUUGUAAACUGCCUUUGUACGGCACGAGAAGCUUUGGGUCCAUACCCUGGAGUCCUUACGUUACCGUAAUAAGAAGCACCGGAUUACUACCGUCCAGCAGCCGCCGUCAUACGUCGGGUGCAAGCGUUAAUCGGAAUUACUGGGCGGAAAGCGGGCGCAGGCGGUGUUGGAAGACAGGGGUGAAAUCCCCGGGCUCAACCUGGGAACUGCCUUUGUGAAUGCAAGGCUAGAGUACGGCAGAGGGGGGUGGAAUUCCGCGGGUAGCAGGGAAAUGCGUAGAUAUGCGGAGGAACACCGAUGGCGAAGGCAACCCCCUGGGCCUGUACUGACGCUCAUGCACGAAAGCGUGGGGAGCAAACA